Molecule: ribosomal RNA, 235 nt
Filed under: uncultured Lactobacillus sp.
Lineage: Bacteria; Bacillati; Bacillota; Bacilli; Lactobacillales; Lactobacillaceae
Description: partial 16S ribosomal RNA
Rfam family: Bacterial small subunit ribosomal RNA
Source: RNAcentral
UGCCCAAGAGAUCGGGAUAACACCUGGAAACAGAUGCUAAUACCGGAUAACAACAGAUGAUGCCUAUCAACUGUUUAAAAGAUGGUUCUGCUAUCACUCUUGGAUGGACCUGCGGUGCAUUAGCUAGUUGGUAGGGUAACGGCCUACCAAGGCGAUGAUGCAUAGCCGAGUUGAGAGACUGAUCGGCCACAUUGGGACUGAGACACGGCCCAAACUCCUACGGGAGGCAGCAGGG